AUCACUCCGCGAGGGUGGUUAUUGGCCCGCUGCUUCAUUGCGUAAUAUAGCAGGCGGCGGAUGAAUACACGAGCCUCACACGACCUACUUUACCUUGUGAUUAGUACUGUUUUUACCAAUUUAAACCUACAUAUUAAUGCCCUGACAUUCGAAUAACAACGACGAAUCACAACAUGUAUCGACAUAUCACCUAACAUAGUAUAUUUAAUGUUUUUUAAACAUAUGUCCAUUUCUCUUUGAUUCUAGAAUUUUCUACUAGGAAGUCAGAAAAAAAGGCAACCGGAAGCUCCACGUUAGUAACUAGCAACUUGGACUAAAACAAGUGACCGUCAGCUGGCCUGACUUUAGAGACCUUUGCCUUUUGGGGGAACCGGAGCGAUCCAAAUGACCUAGUGUACCGUCUGGCACCUGGUUGGUCUUUGGAGUGCCACACCCAAACUUAUUGAGUCAUAAGUCAUAAGAACAGCACUCGGGUGAGGGUGUUCACGCCCAACUACAAGUUUACACAAAGGUCUGCAGCUGUUUCAAAACCACAUUGUUGGACGAUGUUGCCCUUCUCCAGUCAGGAGGGUCAAGAAAAUCCACACCCACGACCUUGACCUGUGCUCCUUGAUGUCUGCUGUCACCUUGUGGCUGGACUAGCUUACAGCAUCUUUCUC
Long non-coding RNA from Nerophis lumbriciformis (worm pipefish), 659 nucleotides. RefSeq lists it as uncharacterized. NCBI's taxonomy places the organism in Eukaryota, Metazoa, Chordata, Actinopteri, Syngnathiformes, Syngnathidae. The record is from RefSeq and is a predicted model, not a curated record.